GUGUCAGCAGCCGCGGUAAUACAGAGGGUGCAAGCGUUAAUCGGAAUUACUGGGCGUAAAGCGCGCGUAGGCGGUUGUGUAAGUUGGAUGUGAAAGCCCCGGGCUCAACCUGGGAACUGCAUUCAAAACUGCACGGCUAGAGUAUUGGAGAGGAAGGUAGAAUUCCAGGUGUAGCGGUGAAAUGCGUAGAGAUCUGGAGGAAUACCGAUGGCGAAGGCAGCCUUCUGGCCAAAUACUGACGCUGAGGUGCGAAAGCAUGGGGAGCAAACAGGAUUAGAUACCCUGGUAGUCCAUGCCGUAAACGAUGUCAACUAGGUGUUGGGGAACUUGAUUCCUUAGUGCCGCAGCUAACGCAUUAAGUUGACCGCCUGGGGAGUACGGCCGCAAGGUUAAA
RNAcentral lists this ribosomal RNA (394 nucleotides) under uncultured bacterium. Its description in RNAcentral is "bacterial SSU rRNA". It matches the Rfam family "Bacterial small subunit ribosomal RNA", at positions 505 to 898 of the family's 1533-position model. The record is from RNAcentral.